UGUGGCCACACCAGCCUGAACACGCCCCAUCUCGUCUGAUCUUGGAAGCUAAGCAGGGUCAGGCCUGGUUAGUACUUGGAUGGGAGAAGAGGAAUAUUGGUGUUUAAAUAA
This 111-nucleotide ribosomal RNA is filed under the name Prolemur simus (greater bamboo lemur). Lineage: Eukaryota; Metazoa; Chordata; Mammalia; Primates; Lemuridae. The record is from RNAcentral.